Molecule: ribosomal RNA, 570 nt
Filed under: Salmonella enterica subsp. enterica serovar Heidelberg
Lineage: Bacteria; Pseudomonadati; Pseudomonadota; Gammaproteobacteria; Enterobacterales; Enterobacteriaceae
Description: partial 23S ribosomal RNA
Rfam family: Bacterial large subunit ribosomal RNA
Source: RNAcentral
CGUUACCCGGGUUGCGGACAGUGUCUGGUGGGUAGUUUGACUGGGGCGGUCUCCUCCUAAAGAGUAACGGAGGAGCACGAAGGUUGGCUAAUCCUGGUCGGACAUCAGGAGGUUAGUGCAAUGGCAUAAGCCAGCUUGACUGCGAGCGUGACGGCGCGAGCAGGUGCGAAAGCAGGUCAUAGUGAUCCGGUGGUUCUGAAUGGAAGGGCCAUCGCUCAACGGAUAAAAGGUACUCCGGGGAUAACAGGCUGAUACCGCCCAAGAGUUCAUAUCGACGGCGGUGUUUGGCACCUCGAUGUCGGCUCAUCACAUCCUGGGGCUGAAGUAGGUCCCAAGGGUAUGGCUGUUCGCCAUUUAAAGUGGUACGCGAGCUGGGUUUAGAACGUCGUGAGACAGUUCGGUCCCUAUCUGCCGUGGGCGCUGGAGAACUGAGGGGGGCUGCUCCUAGUACGAGAGGACCGGAGUGGACGCAUCACUGGUGUUCGGGUUGUCAUGCCAAUGGCACUGCCCGGUAGCUAAAUGCGGAAGAGAUAAGUGCUGAAAGCAUCUAAGCACGAAACUUGCCCCGAG